This 1507-nucleotide long non-coding RNA is filed under the name Piliocolobus tephrosceles (Ugandan red Colobus). RNAcentral's name for it is "lncRNA (ENSPTEG00000026650.1)". Lineage: Eukaryota; Metazoa; Chordata; Mammalia; Primates; Cercopithecidae. The record is from RNAcentral.
ACUAAAUAAAAAUAAAAAUGUACACUUUCCUUUUAUUCAUACUAUUCAUUUUGACUUGCUUGUUUGUUUCUUUUUUUUUCUAUCAGAAUUUAAAAAGAGGCCAGGAAAUAAAUAAAAAUACAUGUCUAUACAUUUCAGAUGAUUUAAUGAUAAAAAAAAAAGCAAACAAAAGUGCAAUAAAAAAAUUAAUAAAAAAAAUGUCGAUAAAUACUUUCCAUUUAUAUUUUUUAAAAUGUUUUAAUAAUUAUAUUGAAACUCCUGUGGUAAUUUUAAAAAAAAAUUAUAUUCACAAAUGACAAAAGAAAUGUCAGCUUGUUUUUAUAAAUUUUUAUUUUUUUUGCUUUCUAUUGGUUUUGAUUUUUUUUUACAUAUGUAUAGAUACACCACCAUGUGCAUAAUUGCUUAUUAUAUGUGCAUGUAUGUAUAACAUAUAUAUAACUACAUGUUUUUCCGUAUUUCCUUUCCUUUUCUUUCGGUCAGGUUUUGUCUUUGCUAAGGGGUGAUGAAGAAGAUGUUAUAAUCGGUUUAAAAUACCUAUUAGAAAAUAUAGAUCAAAUAAACUUUUUAAUUGUAAAUUCAUUAAAUAAAUUAAAAAAAAAAAAAAAAAUUAAAAGUAAUCAAGUAAUUUUACAUUUAAUCAAUUUUGUAUUGAAAAAGUUAUGUGAGAGUAAUUUAAAUUAUAGUUAUAAAAAAAACCCAAUUAUUAGAUUUUUAUGACAAUCUGAUGUAUAAUAAAAAUACAUUUUUUGAGUCAGGCAUAAUGAACGAUGCACUUAACGUGAAAGAUCUUAGACUUUUAUAUAUAUACAAACACAAUAUAAAAAUAAAAAAAGAAAAAAAUUUUAUUAAACACGUUGACAACAUUUAUAAUAAAGGAGAUAAUAUAUUUCACCCUAUCUCUUAUUUAUACAAUAACAAUAAUGAUAUGUUUACAAAUAUGAUUAAACAUGAUUUUCGAAUAAAUAGAAAUGGUUAUAAAUUGAGUAAAAAACAUUUAAAUAAAAAAAAAAAAAAAAUGUUAACUGGAGAAAUACCUAUACCUAAUAAAUAUAUAGGAAUCUACAACUGCUUCAAAAAAAAAUCAGUGUUUGAUAAUGGAUUUUCUCACAUAUUUAAUAUGAAAAAAAAAAAAAAAAUAAAUAAUUUUAAAAAAAUUGUAAAACAAAACAUAAAUGAUAAAAAAAAAGUGUAAUUUAGUAACUGAUGAUAUAUGUAAUUGCAUUCCAAAUAUAAUUGUAAAUAUAAACAAUGACGCUAAGCUUCGGUAAUUUUACAUACACAUACAUAUACAAUAUAUGCAUAUACAUACACAUACGUACACAUACAUACAUAUACAUACAUACACAAUACAUAUGCUCAUAUUAUAUGUCGAAAUGUACAAAUAUAUACCAACAUGCAUGUAUACAUAUAUACAUACGUAUGCAUUUUACAUACACUUAACAGCGAAAGGGUUAAUGUAGCAAAAAAAAGAAAUAAAAAAUGUAAAAAAUAUUUUGAUUAAAAUAAA